UGGGGAAUUUUGCGCAAUGGGCGCAAGCCUGAUCCAGCCAUGCCGCGUGGAUGAUGAAGGCCCUAGGGUUGUAAAAUCCUUUCGUCAGGGACGAUAAUGACGGUACCUGAAGAAGAAGCCCCGGCUAACUUCGUGCCAGCAGCCGCGGUAAUACGAAGGGGGCUAGCGUUGUUCGGAAUUACUGGGCGUAAAGCGCAUGUAGGCGGGUCGUUAAGUCGGGGGUGAAAGCCCAGAGCUCAACUCUGGAACUGCCUUCGAUACUGGCGACCUGGACCCAAGGAGAGGCGAGUGGAAUUGCGAGUGUAGAGGUGAAAUUCGUAGAUAUUCGCAGGAACACCAGUGGCGAAGGCGACUCGCUGGACUUGUGGUGACGCUGAGAUGCGAAAGCGUGGGGAGCAAACAGGAUUAGAUACCCAAGUAGUCCCUGAGCGGGCUGGCAAGGCGCAU
This 447-nucleotide ribosomal RNA is filed under the name uncultured bacterium. RNAcentral describes it as "bacterial SSU rRNA". It matches the Rfam family "Bacterial small subunit ribosomal RNA", at positions 355 to 825 of the family's 1533-position model. The record is from RNAcentral.